This 2050-nucleotide long non-coding RNA is filed under the name Solanum tuberosum (potato). Its description in RNAcentral is "long non-coding RNA (STUB_LNC011243)". Lineage: Eukaryota; Viridiplantae; Streptophyta; Magnoliopsida; Solanales; Solanaceae. The record is from RNAcentral.
UUAGAGGUUGGACUGGAGAGAUUCAUGGAAGAGUUGUUUGUGAUGUUUGUGCUGAUUCUUCUGUUGGUCCAGAAGACCAUGUUCUAGAAGGUUUCUUCUUUACUCUUAUACUGGUGUAUGUUGUAGAUUAUUUUUUUCGAUUUCUCGUUCGAGAACUACGAUCUUUACCACUGAAACUUCAGUUUCAGAUUAAUCGGAAUGAAUAGCAAAACUUUCUAUUUAGGACAAUGAAAAUUGUGAAAUUUGAAAAAAAAAUGAAGUAGUUUUUGUUUUUGUAAGUGAAAAAUGGUUUUUGGGAUUUGGGUUUUGCUUGACCAUGAAUAUUAAUUGGAGUUGUUUUUAAAUUUUUAUGAGUGAUUUGGAAUGAAAAAGUGAACAACUUUUUAGUGUUUUUCGAAUUUCAGAAUUUUUUGAAAUUUUAUGGCUAAACAUGAUUUUCGGUACUCAACCCCCAAAAAAGUAAAAAAUGUUCAUGGACAAAUAGCCACUAAAUGAGUUGGGUAUAGAACCUAUGGUUCGAAUCCGUUGUUAUAUGUUUGUUUUUAGCUUUUGUUGUUAUUGAUGUUCUAGAGCUUUGGAUGAUAGUUGAGAGAUUUACUAAUUUUAUUGAUGGUCAGAAAAAUCGGGGUAGGGGAAGGGAAAAUUGGGAGGGGUGCAAGGUGGGAAUUAAACUCUCGUCAGCGAGUUUUGAAGUUUAGAUAGUCAACCAAUUGAGCUACUAAGAUUCUCCAAAUUGUAGUGAUUUUCAGAAUCAUGUUGGACAUUUUUUAUUUUUUUUUGCUUGAUUAAAUCAUUGUUAUAUUUUAUGCUGGAUGCUUGCUGAUAGUUUCAGAAAAGUUGGCCUGCUUUAAGAAUUUGUGUUCUCAAAGCCAAAUAUACGGGUGUUUGUACCGUAUGGAUCAACUAAAGUUCCAAACUUUCAACUCUGUUAUCAGCCCUAGGCCGUUUUGGAUAACUACGCGUAGCAUACUCAUCUGGCUCCCAACAGAUGAGACCAUCCUUCUAUGUCAUCCGGAAGGGAAACCAAGUUAUUUCUUCAUUUCUAUUUAGUUACUCUUUUCAUUUUCUAACUUGGUUGGUUAAAACUAAAGCACUAUGUUCAUGAACCUAGUUACAAGUUACAAGUAAGCUAAAGCAUUGGAUGUCCUAAUCAUUGAGUUCUUAUUACUCCUUCCAUCCCGAAUUACUUGUCAUUUUUUGCUUCUCGAGAUUCAAACUACAUGAACUUUGACCCAUAUAUUAAGAUGUAUUUUUUCACCGUAUUGAUAUAAAAAGAAUAGCAACUUAUUGUACUUCCUUUAUAGUUUUCAAAUAGUAGUUUUAAAAUAUUGAAUUUAUCUAAACCAAUAUAGCUCCGAAGAUUAGUCAAAUUGACUCUUGAGAAGCGAAACGUGGCAAGUGUUUUGGGAUAGAGGGAUGAGUGAGUCACUGAUUAGACAAUUAAUGCAAUAAAAAAUCACAAGAUUCAUUGGACUUCUAGUAAAUGGUGCAUCAAAUUAUAGAAAUCAAUUUACUUUGGGUAAUCUUAUGGUGACAUUGUUAAGAAUAUUUGAGAGCAUGUUUUUUGCUAACCAAUAAGAUUUGAACUCUGAUGGACUAUUUGUUUUAUUUGAUAUUCGAUGCUAAAUAUGUAGUGAAGUAAAACAGAUUCGUGAAAUAAUGAAGAGGACUAAAUAAUGCUCUCUGUUUCCUCUCCUUCCAUGUACCUAUCCGUAUGCACUUACAUAGAUAUAUAGGCUAAGCAACCCUCUAUACUUUGUGUGCUCCAGGGAAAGAAGUUAUUAUUUACCAAUAUUGACACCAUAAAUCUAUCUCCUUUUCCUGGAACUGUAUAGAUUAGAAUAUCUCCCGUUACAAAGUUCUGUUGAAUUUGUAAAUGCAAAAGUGAAAGCUGAUGGGCUUGGAAGCACACGGAAACUCUUGGGAUGUGUAUUCAAGUACUGACGCAUUGCACUGGUGGAACACCAUCACUGUGCAUGUUCAACAUCACCCUUAAUCUCAUCCGUGAGGAUAGAAAAUUAAGAGAAUCUUACUGCACCAGUAGACUAAG